This 129-nucleotide microRNA precursor is filed under the name Marmota monax (woodchuck). Lineage: Eukaryota; Metazoa; Chordata; Mammalia; Rodentia; Sciuridae. The record is from RNAcentral.
AUGCAUGGAUUGUCUUUUAUUUUAUCUAUCUAUCUAUCUAUCUAUCUAUCUAUCUAUCUAUCUAUCUAUCUGAUAGAUAGAUAGAUAGAUAGAUAGAUAUCUGAAGAUGGCAAUGAGGUUCAGAGAGGA